Molecule: non-coding RNA, 21 nt
Filed under: Arabidopsis thaliana (thale cress)
Lineage: Eukaryota; Viridiplantae; Streptophyta; Magnoliopsida; Brassicales; Brassicaceae
Source: RNAcentral
UGUAAGACCUUUUCUCUACUC